This is a long non-coding RNA of Gymnodraco acuticeps, 1274 nucleotides long. RefSeq lists it as uncharacterized. The record is from RefSeq and is a predicted model, not a curated record. Lineage: Eukaryota; Metazoa; Chordata; Actinopteri; Perciformes; Bathydraconidae. The transcript has 2 exons.
ACUUCACUACUCUCCUAUUCAGACAGUACAAUCAUUUUAAUAACUGUCUGCCUGCCUCUAACCCCCCGCCCCCCCCACUCUCCUUCUCUUACUUCUGUUUCUACUGACAAGAAAGAUGAUGUAUGUGCAGACAGAUUUGCAGCUUUCCAACUGAGAUAUGAAAAUGUCCUAUUUGUGCAGGAAUUGGGGUUCCUUUUCCGAGUUUUAAACAUAACAUUUUAAAUCUAACUUUCUUUAUACUACUUUUGGUAAGUUUUUUGUUUUUCUUAAAUAUUGGAUUUGAAGUGUCACUUGAGGGAAUUUAUAUAUUAUUAUUAACUUCCUUAGAUAAAAAAAAUAUAAAUUGUACUUAAGAAGCAAAUGGCAAAUGCAGUCAUAUUUGCAAAAAUGUAUAAAUAAAUAAAAAGCAUAUUAAAUACAAAGAAGAUUGGGAGAAAUGAAUGGCAACUUAUUGACUCAUUGCAGCACCAUCGUCAAUAACGAUAAAGGAUUAUGAAAAGUUACAACCAUUUUGUAUUUGAUAAAUAUAUUUAGCUUAAUCAGGAACUUUAGGUUUUGCAACAUGUAAGAGAAAUAUGCAGACACUUUAUUUCCUCACAGAGUGAAUGUUGGAGUUUUUCUGUCUGGGCGUUGAUGAACUACUUUCCUCCUCAGUGUGAAAAGUUUCAUCAGUCCUGCCUACAUAUGUGUCUUUAUCCUGCCUUCACACAACAACUGAGACUGUGGUUCGAACAGGUGAAUGCAAAGCUAAACGGUCUGAAGCUGCAGGUGUGGAAACGUUGCAGGAUGAGCAGCUCCUGAGGCCACACACAGAGGGAAUGCUGAGCCUGAAAUGUGACUCGGCGCUAUCAGUGAACGCAGAGGUGUCCAACUGUGACCGUGCUGCUCCAUGCCUCAGAGAUACCGUUUCUUCCCAGUGACACAGCAGCUUCUCUCACUGUAGCUUUGAGAGGCAAAACAGUGUCAGGACAAUGAUUCAGUGAAUGUUUUAGAGAAGUUACAAAUGAGGUGGGAUCAAUACUCACCGCUGGCUGAGUUGCUGAUCAUAAUCCUAACGUCCGACUGCUACAAAACAUGUGUUCAUUUGUAUUUGUCGCAGCUUCCUUCCUUUGAUUCCAACAAAGCACUUGGAUGUCUUAAACAGACAGUUCUAAAGCGUCAUCUUUCAUUUAUUUGAUUUUAGUUACCGUUUUGAUCACUUGUUUGGCUCCCGAUGAUGUGUUGAUAUCGUGCGACUCGUGUUUAAUCAAAAUAAAUAAUACACUUUUCACAUA